This 250-nucleotide ribosomal RNA is filed under the name uncultured prokaryote. RNAcentral describes it as "partial 16S ribosomal RNA". It matches the Rfam family "Bacterial small subunit ribosomal RNA", at positions 524 to 773 of the family's 1533-position model. The record is from RNAcentral.
UACGUAGGGGGCGAGCGUUGUCCGGAAUGACUGGGCGUAGAGGGCGUGUAGGCGGCUGAUUAAGUCUGGAGUGAAAGUCCUGCUUUCAAGGUGGGAAUUGCUUAGGAGACUGGUCGGCUUGAGUGCGGAAGUGGUAAGUGGAAUUCCCAGUGUAGCGGUGAAAUGCGUAGAGAUUGGGAGGAACACCAGUGGCGAAGGCGACUUACUGGGCCGUAACUGACGCUGAGGCGCGAAAGCGUGGGGAGCGAAC